AGCGAACGCUGGCGGCAUGCCUAACACAUGCAAGUCGCACGGGGGGGCUUCGGCCUCCCAGUGGCGGACGGGUGAGGAACGCGUAGGGACCUGUCCAGGGGUGGGGGAUAACCGCGGGAAACUGCGGCUAAUACCGCAUGACGCCGCGGCGUGACAGCCGGGGCCAAAGGCGAAAGCCGCCCGCCGAGGGGCCUGCGUCCGAUUAGCUGGUUGGCGGGGUAGCGGCCCACCAAGGCGUCGAUCGGUAGCUGGUCUGAGAGGGUGAUCAGCCACACCGGGACUGAGACACGGCCCGGACUCCUACGGGAGGCAGCAGUGGGGAAUAUUGGACAAUGGGCGCAAGCCUGAUCCAGCAAUGCCGCGUGGGUGAAGAAGGUCUUCGGAUUGUAAAGCCCUUUCGGCGGGGACGAUGGUGACGGUACCCGCAGAAGAAGCCCCGGCUAACUUCGUG
This 451-nucleotide ribosomal RNA is filed under the name uncultured bacterium. RNAcentral describes it as "partial 16S ribosomal RNA". It matches the Rfam family "Bacterial small subunit ribosomal RNA", at positions 28 to 507 of the family's 1533-position model. The record is from RNAcentral.